AGGCAGCUGACGAGUCCUUAACUGACGCUAAAGCUCGAAAGUGCGGGUAUCGAACAGGAUUAGAUACCCUGGUAGUCCGCACGGUAAACGAUGGAUGCCCGCUGUUGGCGAUACAAUGUCAGCGGCCAAGCGAAAGCGUUAAGCAUCCCACCUGGGGAGUACGCCGGCAACGGUGAAACUCAAAGGAAUUGACGGGGGCCCGCACAAGCGGAGGAACAUGUGGUUUAAUUCGAUGAUACGCGAGGAACCUUACCCGGGCUUGAACUGCAGCUGAACGAUUCAGAGAUGAUGAGGUCCUUCGGGACAGCUGUGGAGGUGCUGCAUGGUUGUCGUCAGCUCGUGCCGUGAGGUGUCGGCUUAAGUGCCAUAACGAGCGCAACCCUUUUCUCUAGUUGCCAUCAGGUUUUGCUGGGCACUCUGGAGACACUGCCACCGUAAGGUGUGAGGAAGGUGGGGAUGACGUCAAAUCAGCACGGCCUGACCUUCCGGGCCUACACACCUGUUACAAGGGGUGGUACAGAGAGUUGGUAGUCUGCGAAUGCGAUCUAAUCCUUAAAGCCAUCCUCAGUUCCGAUUGGCGUCUGCAACCCGCACCAUGAA
Molecule: ribosomal RNA, 600 nt
Filed under: uncultured bacterium
Lineage: Bacteria
Description: bacterial SSU rRNA
Rfam family: Bacterial small subunit ribosomal RNA
Source: RNAcentral